This is a long non-coding RNA of Octopus bimaculoides (California two-spot octopus), 889 nucleotides long. Lineage: Eukaryota; Metazoa; Mollusca; Cephalopoda; Octopoda; Octopodidae. The record is from RefSeq and is a predicted model, not a curated record.
ACAGACAGAGUUAUACAAAUUUGACCAGAAUUAAAUAGUAUCUUUAUGCAAAUACAUUUCACAGGAACCGUACAAAAAAGUGGAAAAGUUUAAGACAAAUGAUGAAAUUAUUCUCUGUUUCCGUAAUGUGUAAAGCUUUUGAAACAAUGUUUAUUGUGUGAGAAUCGGCUCACAGAGAAAAUUACCAAACUGACAUGGUUGACAUAUAUUCAAGUACGAAAAGAGUGCCAGGCGAUGAUUGUACAAUGAUUUACAUAGAACAAUAUUGUGAAUAAUAAUUAAAUUAAUAUUGAGAAGAUGACACAUUAUGUAUAUAAUUCCACGGACGUCCAAAUUGCGGUUUUUAGUAAGUAUUAGAGAAUUGUAUCGAUUAGAUCAUAGUGAUUGCGGUAAUCAGUGAUUGUGCUGUCCGUGAUGAGGGAUAGUAUUAAUAGUGGGUUACUGAAGACACAUAGAUCUCACGAAAUCAUUUAUUCCAGUAAGAUUACUUUCGUGUAUUUCAUGGUGAAGGAAAAGUUGAAGAGACACUUGCACACUUGCAUAAGAGAAAAAUCAAAAUAACAACAGCACCAUCAGCAGCAGCAAGAGUAACAACCACUACAAUAACCACAACACGAACAACAAGUGGACGGAAAUAGUAGUAUGUGUGUAAGAAACAGAUGACAUCCGCGCUUUAAAAAUAAGUCUAUUAGAAAAAGUAUUUUGAAUCCGUAAUUAAGCAGAUGUUAUCAUUAAAUUUAGUAUAAGAUGAAAGUAUAAAAAGAUGGUACUUUUUGUUGAUGGAACAGAUUUAAUUGAAGAAUGCAAGACACACACAAUAAGCUUAAACAAAAACAAAAUAAAAAUGAUGAAAUCGAAUGGCCGUCAAUUCUGUUUCUACCUUCUCUCA